CACAACUCUACGAAGAGAAUAAUUUAUCAUUGUCGCUUCUAAGCAAAAGUUUCUCUUGAAAAUGUUCAGCAACUGAUGAUAGAUGGAGAGAACUUCAUCAUCUCCUAGAAAGAGGGAAGAUGAAGGGCUACUUUCAUGCUGGGGUCGUCUCAAGUUGAAGCUUCCAUGGACAAACAGAAGAACAAGCAGCAGCAGCAGCAACAACAA
Molecule: unclassified non-coding RNA, 207 nt
Filed under: Hevea brasiliensis (rubber tree)
Lineage: Eukaryota; Viridiplantae; Streptophyta; Magnoliopsida; Malpighiales; Euphorbiaceae
Source: RNAcentral